UAGAAAGUAGUGUAAUGGAUGCACGAAGAGUUUUGAUCUCUUUAGAUAGGGUUCAACACCCUUCUUUUUAA
This 71-nucleotide transfer RNA is filed under the name Pterolebias longipinnis. RNAcentral describes it as "tRNA-Gln". It matches the Rfam family "tRNA". Rfam says of the family: Transfer RNA (tRNA) molecules are approximately 80 nucleotides in length. Their secondary structure includes four short double-helical elements and three loops (D, anti-codon, and T loops). Lineage: Eukaryota; Metazoa; Chordata; Actinopteri; Cyprinodontiformes; Rivulidae. The record is from RNAcentral.